RNAcentral lists this ribosomal RNA (253 nucleotides) under uncultured bacterium. RNAcentral describes it as "partial 16S ribosomal RNA". It matches the Rfam family "Bacterial small subunit ribosomal RNA", at positions 524 to 776 of the family's 1533-position model. The record is from RNAcentral.
UACGUAGGGUGCGAGCGUUAAUCGGAAUUACUGGGCGUAAAGUGUGCGCAGGUGGCAGAGCAAGUCGAGUGUGAAAGCCCCGGGCUUAACUUGGGAAUUGCGCUCGAAACUACUUUGCUGGAGUGUGGCAGAGGAAGGUGGAAUUCCACGUGUAGCGGUGAAAUGCGUAGAGAUGUGGAGGAACACCAAUGGCGAAGGCAGCCUUCUGGGCCAACACUGACGCUCAUGCACGAAAGCGUGGGGAGCAAACAGG